ACGAGAGGCCCUAGUUGAUAUGCUCGGCGUAAAGAGUGGUUAUGGGAACACAACACUAAAGCUAAAGACCCCCCAAGCAGUCAUACGCACCCAGGAGUUCGAAACACCAGCACGAAAGUCGCUUUACCUCGCCCACCAGAACCCACGACAGCCGGGAAACAAACUGGGAUUAGAUACCCCACUAUGCCCCGCCGUAAACUUCGAUGUAUAAACACAACAAACAUCCGCCAGGGGACUACGAGCGUCAGCUUAAAACCCAAAGGACUUGGCGGUGCUUCAAACCCCCCUAGAGGAGCCUGUUCUAGAACCGAUAACCCCCGUUCAACCUCACCAUUUCUAGCUUAUUCCGCCUAUAUACCGCCGUCGCCAGCUUACCCUGUGAAGGCACCAUAGUAAGCAAAAUAGGCAUACCCUAAAACGUCAGGUCGAGGUGUAGCGUACGAGAUGGAAAGAAAUGGGCUACAUUAUCUGAAACAGAUUACCAACGAACGGUCCCCUGAAAUAAAGACCUGAAGGUGGAUUUAGCAGUAAAGAGGGAAUAGAGCGCCCCCUUGAAGCCGGCCCUGAAGCGCGCACACACCGCCCGUCACUCUCCCCGACAACUAACCUAAACCCUAGUACUAUAACAAAACAACACCAACAAGGGGAGGCAAGUCGU
RNAcentral lists this ribosomal RNA (658 nucleotides) under Ilisha striatula (banded ilisha). Its description in RNAcentral is "partial 12S ribosomal RNA". It matches the Rfam family "Bacterial small subunit ribosomal RNA", at positions 525 to 1489 of the family's 1533-position model. The record is from RNAcentral. RNAcentral also lists the same sequence under 1 other name. Lineage: Eukaryota; Metazoa; Chordata; Actinopteri; Clupeiformes; Pristigasteridae.